GUUCCUCCUCAAGAAUUCGGAUAUCUAACUUCCAAGUUAAUCUGUAUAAAUGUUUUCGGAUGACAUUUUAUAAGUAUUUUAGCAGAGAACCAACCUCUUUUGCCAUGUAUGUCUAUUAAUGAACUAAACAUUGUUGCCCCAAUUAAAUUUAUUUCCUCUUUGGUCGAAGUGAAAAUAUUUUCACUCUACCGUUCUAGGAUGUGAUCUAUUCACGCUUUGAAAUUUCACAGAACGAAGUCUAGAUUUUGAACUGAACUUAACCUUAUUCAUGCAGAGAGAACAGAACAUUGAAAUUGGUAAACUAUAAAAAAUGAGUAGCUACUUGAAUAGUUGAGUUCCUUUUCAUUGAACAAAAAAUAUCGUUCUCUCUCAAAAAAGGGAGAUGUUUACAAGUUGAGAAGACGCCUAUUGUACAAAAAUGUCUCCACUAAUCUAUCUAUGUUAGUCUCCUAAAGUAUGACAUUUAUUGUCCAUUCAAGCAAGAAGUUAUACGUUGGAAGACUUCUUCACUGCAAGGAAUUGUGAGGCCACCCAUAGGAUGAUCAUACCCAAACUCUUCCUCGGCUUCACUCAAUAAGUCUUGAAAUGAAGGUUUGUUCAAGUAUGAUACAGGGAUCACAAACCGCUUCAUUUUCUCUCCCACGUACACUGCAAGAUGCCCCUUUUGUGCAUCAACUGCUUUUGAAGAUGCUUGAUUUGCUACAAAUAUUGCCUUUCUGAUGCCAGGAAAACGAAAACCCAUUUUGUAUUGAUAAGAGAACAGAAGGGUUUGAGAAAAGUGUUGAGGAUGUGAAUGAUUUGUGUUGGUUCUAAAUGCUUACAGCCAUGAGUAUAUAUAGAUAAAAGGAUAUGCAUGAAUUGGUUACUUGAAUUAUUGGUGAAGGAUGGGUAUGAGAUAGCAGUCAGAGGAGCAAAGGAGAGACAUAGCAUGUGGUGCUGUCCACAAGGACUUUCUUAAAUUGCAACGUAACGUGUCAUAAUAGAUAACACAAGUCCCACCUUGUGGAUCUAUGAAAAAAGAAGACUAAUUGGUUCAUAUUGUAUCAUUAUAUGAUCGUGCAUUCAAUGUUGAUUCUCUUCUUAUCUCCUCUGUACUUCAAAUUGUAAGCAACACUGCAUGACAUUUGCAUAAAUGAUGUCAACGAUGGCCACCACCUUGAAUGAGUUUCAACAUCAAACCUUCUUUAUCGUACACAAAGAGGGUGGACUUGUAUUAUGUACUCUAACAUGUUACAUUUAUUCUGAAGAGAGUUCUCUACAACACCAUGUGCCUUGUCUCUCAUUUGGUGCCAUGGCUCCUAUCUCAUCACAAUUCACCUGAAUAUAAAUGUAUUAUAUUCAAUGAGUUUGUUUCAAAAGAUACGAAUGAUAGAAUCCACCUGAAUGCAGGGUCAGCUAAGAAUAUACGAUGUCAUGUUUGUGAGAAGAACAUAGCUUCUAAAGAACCAACUGAGAUUUAUAUCCUCAUGUUUCAAAAAUGACAAUUCAUCAUUAUUGUUGUUCGAAGUUUCCCACCAGCAGUGUAAUUAUUUUUAGUUAAGAUUUGUACUAGACCAGAGCAUCUAGAGCUCAGUGCUCGCUGGUCGGAGCUCAGCAUCUGCCUUAGACAGGUCAACUCAGGUUUUGGGCCAAGUUGAUGGGCCAUGUGAUUGGGUUCAAGAUGUGUGUGUCAACUCUUUCCUGUAUACUUAACGUAAUCCCUCGUGCGCAAGGCCUAGGCAGUCAGCAAGGGGUAAUAAUGGACCUAGGGUGCGGUUAGUGUGUAUGGGUCUACUACGAGUAAAACGUUUUCUCUGAACCUAAGUCCAUGUGUGUUAGGGCACGAUGAGUUAGGUUGCAUGUAUGAUGCAUAACGCCUCACCGAGGGUGCCUACGUGAAACUGAUUGGACCCCUGAUGCUGGUACAUGAGUUGGUACCUUGGUCGUUAUUCUGUUAAGAUUUUAUGCACUCCAAAGGGGAAAAAUUUUGUUCAGUUGCAACACUAAUAGAGUGUGCCCUAAAACAAAAUAUUUUCUUGUUGAGCAUGCUUUCAGUUGAGAUGAUAUUCUUGUGAUAGAAAGUUGUUACAAGAGGUAGGCUAUAAAAGGGACUUGAGAUCCCAGGUAAAAGUAUGUUGUUUCUAAGACUGAAACUAGUUACUUCUUGUUUCUUAUAAAGCCUUGUAUUGACUUGAUCGUCGGAGUGCAAUCAACAGGUAGAGCCCCCUUGAGGCGCGAACAAAGGGAAGAGCAGAUUCCAACAGAGAUAGACAGAGUCAGAGCUUGGGAUUGGAGUCAACCGGCGACUAGGUCAUCCGACAAGAACAUUUGGCAUCCACUGUGGGGCCCGAUAAAACCACGUCCCACCUGCAGUAGUGCUCAAGCUUUUACGCGUGAUGAGGAAUACGAGGCAAGGUCCGGUAGGACUAGAAGAGAGUGACAACCCCACCCUACAACAGCUCAUGGAGAUCGUUAGCACCCUUCAAGAGACAGUGGCGACAUCCACGGCUAACCAGGAGAGGCUCAUGGCAGAGGUUUGAGUUGAACAGGUACUUAGGCAAGACCAGUUCAGGGCGAGGCUAGAUGUGUCACGAGCAAGCAACGAGGAACUACGCAAAGCCAACGAAGAAUUGUGUAGGGACCUACAACGGCUGGGAUAACGCUCCAUGGGAGAGCGAAUCCCAACGAUUCAAGAAAAGGUCGGCCUCAUGCCGUUCUCACAGGUGAUCAUGGACGUCGUCGUGCCAACUAGUUUCAUGACGCUCAAGAUUGUUUUUACAGGUACAGAAGACCCGGAGGCCCAUUUCACAGCAUUCAAUGCUUAGAUGAGGAUCUCGAGAGGAACGGACGCCAUGCAUUGCAAGUUGUUCAUGGGCACGUUUACAGGCACAUUGCUACAGUGGUUCGUUGGCCUCCCAAAGGGCCAUAUCACUUCUUUCGAUCAGUUUUCUGCUCUAUUCAAUGAACAAUUAAUCGUCAACUGAGCCCGACCGCCUGUCCCUUUUGUCCUCUUCGGGGUGAAACAGAGGCAAGGAGAGUCUUUGAAGGACUUCCUGAACAGGUUUGAAGCGUUCGUGGUAAAACUCCAGACUUAGGACGAGGCUUUGAUGGUUCAUGCCUUUGGGUAGGGGAUCAUGUCAGGGCCAAUUAGCGACUCAUUGAUCAGAAACCGGACAAGGACCUUUUGGGAGAUCCGACGACGAGCUGUUGCCACAUUGUCGUGGAAGAAGCUGUGACAAUAAAGCGCGGGAGCUCGUAUGCUGGGCAGGCCAAACCUAGAGAGAGAGGGUGGUGAAGCCCAACCAAUGAGAGUGCAUGAGGCUGUGACCAUGAAAAGGUCAGACACCCGGCGAGCACCUUAUGCGCCGAGAAAGAACCAAGUUAGGUCGAAGGCGAAGGAUGACUUGCCUUUUUGACCCAAGUUCAAAAUGUCUUACAAGGAGCUAUUGGCUAUGCCAGGUAUGGCAAACCAGUUGAGGUUCCCCCCAAAAUCUGAUAGGAAUUUGGGGCCAUGCAAGGAGAUCUGGUGUGAUUUCCACAAAGCCUUCGAGCAUGAUGUGGAGCACUACAUAGCCCUUGGCUACCAGUUGGCAGGGCUGGUGAAGGAUGGGCUCCUGAAGGAAUACUUAGAAGGGAGCAAGGAGGGUUCAAAGGAGGAGCUCCAAUCAGCGGACCAAAGGCACGAGGUACCUGUCCAUGGCGAGAUUAAUACAAUCUCAGGAGGAUUUUCAGGAGGAGGCUGCACCGCCUCCCAACGCAAGAGGUACGCAAGGGAGGUGAUGACGGUAGAAAAACGAGAUCCUGAUCAGUCGGUCGAGCCCGACCUCUUGUUCACCAAGGUUGACUUGAGAGAUGUAGUCCCACAUGAGGACGAUCCAGUAGUGAUCUUGAUCAUGAUUGUGGGAAGAGGAGUACAUAGGGUCCUUAUCAAUCAGGGGAGCUCGAUCGACGUGAUGUUUUGGGUUACUUUCAACAUGCUGCAGUUGUCGCCCGAUCAGUUGAGACCUUAUGACGGUUGUCUGUUCGAUUUCGCUGGGAACCAAGUGGAAGUAAGAGGACAUGUGGAGUUGAGGACAACUUUUUCAGAUGGCACCUCAUCUCGUACAAUCAAUAUCAGGUACUUAGUUGUUAAUGCAGCUUUGGCUUAUAACAUGCUUUUGGGCAGACGUGCCUUGAACAGGUUAGGCACGGUGGCCUCAACGAGGCACAUGAAGAUGAAGUUGCCCUCCCUUGAGGGAGGAGUAAUCGUUAUCAGGUCUGAUCAGAAGGCGACGAGGAAGUGUUAUGAGAACAACCUGAAGAACAAAGAGCAAUAUGCGUGGUUGCCACCCAGCCAUAGGGGCCUGAAGGGACCACUCGUGUAGAAAUCGCCAGCGAGAGGCGGCCUGAGCCUGCAGGUUAGGUUCAGGAUUAAGAGAUUGAGGGAAAGAAGUUCAAGCUCGGCACAUCGUUGGGCAAGGAGAUGCAAGAUCAAGUUGUCGGGGUAAUAGCGAGGCACCUAAACGCUUUUGCAUGGUGCGCCUCUGACAUGCCCGACAUCGACCCUGACUUCUUGUGCCACCGACUCACGAUGGACGCGAAGGUCAGGCCCGUGAUACAAAGGAGAAGGAAGUUCAAUGAAGAGAGACCCUUGGUCAUCAGGGAAGAAACCCAGAAGUUGCUUAGCACCGACCACAUAAGGAAGAUCUAGUACCCUGAGUGGCUGACGAAUGUUGUGUUGGUCAAGAAGGCCAAUGGGAAGUGAAGGAUGUGUGUCGACUUUACAGAUCUGAACAAGGCCUGUCCUAAGGAUUUAUAUUCGCUGCCUAGCAUUGAAGCCCUAGUGGACAACGCCUCGGGUUGUCAACUUCUCAGUUUUCUAGAUGCAUUCUCGGGGUACAACCAGAUCCGUAUGCACCCCCGCGAUGAGAGCAAGACUGCGUUCAUGACGGAGCUCUCCAGUUGUUGUUACAAGGUCAUGCGUUUUGGGUUGAAGAACGUCGAUGCAACCUACCAGAGGUUGAUGGAUAGGAUUCUCACCCCUAUGAUAGGGUGAAAUGUGCAUGCAUAUGUGGACGACAUGGUCAUCACCUAACCAGAAAAAGAUCAACAUGUUGCUGAUUUGGAUGAGCUAUUUGCGACAAUAGCUAAGUAUGAUUUGAAGUUGAAUCCCGAAAAGUCUGUAUUCUAGGUGGUGGCAGGGAAAUUCUUAGGGUUUUUGCUCACUGAGCGGGGGAUAAGCAAACAUUGAUAAGUGCACGAUAAUCAUAGGGAUGAGGAGCCCUGCCACUGUAAAGGAGGUAUAGCAGUUGACUGGGCAAAUGGCUGCCCUGUCCCGAUUCUUGUUGGUAAGUGGAGAAAGGGAUAUCCUUAUUUCCAAUGUCUGAAGAAGAACAACCGCUUCAUGUGGACUAGUGAAUGUGAAUAUGCGUUUCUCAAGCUAAAGGAGUACUUAGCCAACCCACCUGUCCUUUGUAAGCCGCUGCCAGGUACUCCCCUUCGUCUCUACUUCGUAGUGAUAGAGCGAGAGAUUAGCUCGGUUAUAGUACAAGAACAUGAUCAAGUUCAGAAGCUGAUAUACUUCGUCAGCAAGGUGCUGCAAGGGCUCGAGAUAUGAUAUCAGGCUAUUGAGAAAGCAGCCCUGGCGGUUGUAUUUGCAGCUCGACGGCUCCGCCAUUAUUUCCAGAGUUUCACAGUGACUGUCAUGACCGACCUUCCCAUACGGAAAGUCUUUCAAAAACCUGACAUAGCAGGUCAGAUGGUGCACUGGGCGGUCGAGCUGUUCGAGUUCGACGUACAAUACGAACCUAAGGGGCCUAUCAAGGGCUAGGUUUAUGCUGACUUUGUAGUGGAGCUUUCCUCAGAAGCCCCUCAUGUAGACGGUGGAUAUUUCCAGUGGGUCCUCUUUGUGGAUGGAUCUUCUAAACAGCAAGGUAGCAGAGCUGGUAUAAUCCUGGAAGGACCAAAUGGAUUGUUGAUCGAGCAGGCCCUUAGAUGUGCUUUCAAGGCCAACAACAACCAGGCUGAGUAUGAAAAGCUGGUAGCUGGAAUGUUGUUGGCCAAGGAGUUGGGCGCUCGGAGUUUGCUGGUGAAAAGUGACUAGCUGCUAGUGACCGGGCAAGUCACAGGUGAGUACAAGGCUAAAGAUCUACAGAUAGCCUCGUACUUAAGGUAUGUCACGCUCUUAAGGGAGAGUUUUCCCAUGUUUGAAUUAGUGCAUAUCCCGAGGGAACAAAAUGCACGAGCAGACCUGCUGGCCAAGCUCGCCAGCUCAGGCAAGGAGGUCGCCAGAGGUCGGUCAUUCAUGAGACUCUGAAGUCACCCAGAACCACUGCAGGUUGUGCGGGUGAGGUCCAACAUGUGGAGACUUUGGAGGGUGGAAGAAGAGGACAUCGAUCGUUGACGCAAGAAACGCUAAAGGUGUCCGAGGUAAGCGCCUAUGGCUUGUCAGGAGAGGAAUCGUUGAACGUCUGUCAAGUCGGCGUGAGCGAAACCUGGAUAACACCAUAUCAGCGUUUCCUUGCUGAUGGCAUGCUCCUGGCAGAGCCCGUGGAAACUAAGGUUAUUAAGAAGAACUCAGACAAAUAUACCCUGAUAAAUGGAAAGCUGUUCAGACAUGGCUACAUUCAUCCUGUCCUCACCUGUGUAAGCGGGGAUCAAUGUACGCGCAUCAUGACAGAGCUCCAUGAAGGCAUCUAUGGAAGUCAUGUCGGGGGACGAGCUCUCUCCCUAAAGGCUGUUUGGACGGGGUACUACUGGCCGACCAUGUGGGAAGACUGCAUGAAGUAUGCCUAACGAUGCGAUCAAUGUCAGAAGGACGUUGAUUGAAAUCAUGCACCCCCAAAGGAGUUGCGAUCCAUACAUAGCCCCUUGCCUUUCCACACUUAGGGGAUAAAUAUCUUAGGUCCAUUCCCACUAGCAAUUCGUCAAAUGAAGUACCUGGUGGUGGCGAUUGAAUACUUCACCAAGUGGAUAGAAGCCGAACUAGUUGCACAGAUAACUACCUACAAGGAUCAACACUUUGUGUGGAAGAACAUUGUUUAUCGUUUUGGGAUCCAAAACGUUUAGUGUCUGACAAUGACACCCAGUUCGCGAGCCAACAGCUAUGCAAGCUGUGCACCGAGCUCGGCAUCAAGUAGGUGUUCGCCUCGGUAGAGCAUCCUUAGACGAACGGACAGGUUGAGUCUGGAAACAGAGUCUUGCUCAAAGGCUUGAAGAGGAUGUUGGAGA
Molecule: long non-coding RNA, 7188 nt
Filed under: Phaseolus vulgaris (common bean)
Lineage: Eukaryota; Viridiplantae; Streptophyta; Magnoliopsida; Fabales; Fabaceae
Description: long non-coding RNA (PVUL_LNC000270)
Source: RNAcentral